UCACCAGCAAAAAUCACCUUGAACAAAACUGGAGAAUUCUAUUUUUCAUGUUCCUUCCAAGGCCAUUGUAGUAGUGGCCAAAAGCUAAGCGUUAAAGUCAUUUCCUCUUCACCUGCUCCAGCAAAUCCUCCUUCACCAACUAAUGGUCCUUCUCCUCCACCAUCUGGAACCACACCUUCUCCUCCACCAUCUGGAACCACACCUUCUCCUCCACCAUCUGGAACCACACCUUCUCCUCCACCAUCUGGAACCACACCUUCUCCUCCACCAUCUGGAACCACACCUUCUCCACCAUCUCCUACCCCACCUACCAACGGUGGUUCACCACCUCCGUCGUCUCCAACUCAGCCUGAUGCGACUCCUCCAUCAGAGGGCUCAGCCACCACCCUCUUUGCGACUUUCUCUAUUCUUAUCGCUCUUGUCAUAAAC
This 429-nucleotide long non-coding RNA is filed under the name Cicer arietinum (chickpea). Its description in RNAcentral is "long non-coding RNA (CARI_LNC002156)". Lineage: Eukaryota; Viridiplantae; Streptophyta; Magnoliopsida; Fabales; Fabaceae. The record is from RNAcentral.